AAUGAAAGAAUUGUAAAGAAUGUAUAUGAAUUUAUUAAAGAGUCUAAGAGGUUUCUAAUUGUGUAAUAUAGCACAUUAUAAAGUGCAAAUACAUGCAUAUUGUGUAUAACCAUUCACAUCAUCACACACCAUCUCUUCAUAGUUCAAUAUUUUUUAUAUAUAUAUAAUGUAUUGUUUGUAUGCAUGCUUUGUAAAUAUUCUAUUGUUAUAAAUUGUUAUGGGAGAAGACUAUAUAAGUUUGAUUAACUUGUGUCUCAUCCCUUUUGCACAUUUAAGCAAAUAAAAUAUGUUUAAACUAAACUGA
This 304-nucleotide long non-coding RNA is filed under the name Mytilus galloprovincialis (Mediterranean mussel). Lineage: Eukaryota; Metazoa; Mollusca; Bivalvia; Mytilida; Mytilidae. The record is from RNAcentral.